GCUGCGUACUUAUCACCACCUGUAACAUCAGUUCCAACGUGAAAGGGGAUGAGUUGCACAGUCAGGAAAUAUGUGAACGUAACUGUGCAAUAUCAACGAUUUGAGGAUGAUUCACAAGACUCAUGACACAUGUCCUAGGGACACGAAGAUAGAGACUAGUGAUGAAAGAUGCCACAGAAGAAACAAUACGAGCAACAAAAGGAACAGCUGGAAUCACAGAAGGACAGGGCUGGAAGGAACCUGAGAAUUUACCAGUCUGACCUCCUGGUUUUGCACAUCAGAAAAUUUUGGCCCUGAGAGGCACAGUGACUCUUCAGAAUGAAACUUAGUACCCACCUGGCCCCAGUCCACCCACAUGGACCUGUCACCCAUCUCUUACUGUGUGUGACCUGCUUGUAUCUUU
Herpailurus yagouaroundi (jaguarundi) is the source of this 403-nucleotide long non-coding RNA. RefSeq lists it as uncharacterized. The transcript has 3 exons. Lineage: Eukaryota; Metazoa; Chordata; Mammalia; Carnivora; Felidae. The record is from RefSeq and is a predicted model, not a curated record.